Rosa rugosa (rugosa rose) is the source of this 742-nucleotide long non-coding RNA. RefSeq lists it as uncharacterized. Lineage: Eukaryota; Viridiplantae; Streptophyta; Magnoliopsida; Rosales; Rosaceae. The record is from RefSeq and is a predicted model, not a curated record. The transcript has 3 exons.
UCAACCUCAGCCUCCCUCUCUUUGCGACUUUGCUUGUAUCGAAACUAUCGACUAUCGACCUCAGCCCCAAAACUUCAGAUCUGAUGAAAUCUCCCUCUCACUCUCUCAGUCCCUCCCUCACCAGAAAUCUGAGUUCAACCCGGUCCCAGUGAGUUGUGUAUCUCUCUCUCCGGUCUCCAUUACCAGCUCCUGCUCGGCUGCUCCGGUCUCGAGUUACCCACCAGAAAUCUGAGUUCUUCCUCUCUGCCUAGUUACCCACCACCGCUCCGCCAUUCACAGAGAGAGAGAGAGAGAGAGACGAUGAUACCGCAGCAAUGGGGUCCUCCUUGCAAUCACGAAUGCACGCACAAGUACGCAGCCCUUAUGCAGAUUCCAUGUCAUAUGCCUGUUGAUUUUGGUUGCUGAUUUGCUGGCUUAUGUUCUCUAUUUGUCUCCAGUUGCCUUUGAUUCUCUCCCUUUACGGGUUGCUCCAUAUAUCAGAGUCAUCGAUCUUUUUCAUAUUGAACUUUAGAUUUGUGCAGUUGUCGAGUUGUCAUGGAGGUUUGGACUUGUGGAGCAAGGCAGCAGGCCGAGCAAGGCAGCAACAAGGCGUUUGUGCACUUGUGGACAGUUUGACUUUGUGCAAAACUGCAAAUUGUGUUUAUGCAUUUGGAUUGUUUAAUUUCUGUUGGACAAUUUGGAUUGUUUAAUUUCUGUUGGACAAUGUAUUCUGACUCUUGAGUUUGUGUUGUAAAGUGUAAAC